Magallana angulata is the source of this 440-nucleotide long non-coding RNA. RefSeq lists it as uncharacterized. The transcript has 3 exons. Lineage: Eukaryota; Metazoa; Mollusca; Bivalvia; Ostreida; Ostreidae. The record is from RefSeq and is a predicted model, not a curated record.
UAAAAUCCAAUAGCAGUCAAUUUACUCUCAAAAUCAAUACCCUAUAUUAAUUAUUAUUUUUUAUAUUUUGAGAUAUAAAAUGGAAUCAUAUCAUUUUUUCCCUCAUCUUGUGAAUUUUUUACACAUUAUGUCUACAAAUGUUAAUUUUGUAGCCGAGCAACACCUGCUUUCCACCACAACUACAAUUCAUGCAGAGAAUAACUUGUUUUCGACAUUUUCUAGAUCCGAUUAUCCAUUGGGUAACAUUUUAUGUGCGACAAGUCAACGACAACCCACCUGAAGCCGAAAAACUUCCUGACAUCCAGAUAUCUGAGGGAAAUGUGUCUGUGCCAUUAUUUCUACAUCGGCUAUUUGAUUACUUUAAAGACCGGGAUUGUCCAAAAGAACGUUUAUUCCUCAGCAUCUCAAAAUACUCAAGCGUGGAGGUACAUGUAUAAGUA